GGACCGGUAGUGUAAUGGAUAGCAUGUCGCGUUUGGAUGUGAAGAGGAGUGGUUCAAUUCCCUCCCGAGCCA
RNAcentral lists this transfer RNA (72 nucleotides) under Gongylonema pulchrum. It matches the Rfam family "tRNA". Rfam says of the family: Transfer RNA (tRNA) molecules are approximately 80 nucleotides in length. Their secondary structure includes four short double-helical elements and three loops (D, anti-codon, and T loops). The record is from Rfam by way of RNAcentral. Lineage: Eukaryota; Metazoa; Nematoda; Chromadorea; Rhabditida; Gongylonematidae.